Molecule: ribosomal RNA, 253 nt
Filed under: uncultured bacterium
Lineage: Bacteria
Description: partial 16S ribosomal RNA
Rfam family: Bacterial small subunit ribosomal RNA
Source: RNAcentral
UACGGAGGAUCCAAGCGUUAUCCGGAUUCAUUGGGUUUAAAGGGUGCGUAGGCGGAAUGAUAAGUCAGUGGUGAAAUCCUGCAGCUUAACUGCAGAACUGCCAUUGAUACUGUCAAUCUUGAGUACAUUUGAUGUGGGCGGAAUGUGUCAUGUAGCGGUGAAAUGCUUAGAUAUGACACAGAACACCGAUUGCGAAGGCAGCUCACAAAACUGUAACUGACGCUGAGGCACGAAAGCGUGGGGAGCGAACAGG